UUGUAAUUUGUAGAAGGUGCUUCGGAUGCAAUAAUGGUACAAGUUCCUUGGAAUUGGACGUCAUAGAGGGUGAUAAUCCCGUUUUGACCAAAUUAUUCAUCCAUGUGAAGCCCUUUCGACGAGUCGAGUUGUUUGGGAAUGCAGCUCAAAAUGGGUGGUAGACUUCAUCUAAAGCUAAAUAUCAGCCAGAGACCGAUAGCGCACAAGUAGAGUGAUCGAAAGAUGAAAAGCACUUUGAAAAGAGAGUUAAACAGCACGUGAAAUUGUUGAAAGGGAAGCGCUUGCAACCAGACUUGCUUGUAAUGUUCAGCCUCCUGAAAAGGUGGUGUAUUCUUUACCUGCAGGCCAGCAUCGGUUUCGACGGUUGGACAAAAGCUUAAGGAAAGUAGCUCCUCUCGGGGAGUGUUAUAGCCUGAGUAUAAUGCAACCAGUCGGGACCGAGGAACGCGCUUUUGCGAGGAUGUUGGCAUAAUGGUUGUUAGCGACCCGUCUUGAAACACGGACCAAGGAGUCGACCAAUUAAGCGAGCGUUAGGGUGUAAAACCCGCAACGCGCAAUGAAAGUAAACGUAGGUGGGAAGCUUUUAGCAGCACCAUCGACCGAUCUAAGUUCGCGAGGAUUUGAGUAUGAGUUUCAUUGGUCGGACCCGAAAGUCAGUAUCCCUUCUGUUUGUUUUGUUUCUUAUACUAACCUUUUUGUUUAGGAAGGUGAACUAUUCCCGAAUAGGUUGAAGCUAGUCGAAAGACUGGUGGAAGACCGCAGCGGUUCUGACGUGCAAAUCGAUCGUCAAAUUUAGGAAUAGGGGCGAAAGACUAAUCGAACCUUCUAGUAGCUGGUUCCUGUCGAAGUUUCCCUCAGGAUAGCAGCAACGAUAAACAGUCUCAUGAGGUAGAGCAACGAUUAGAGGCCUUGGGGUUGAAACAACCUUAACCUAUUCUCGAACUCCGAAUAUGUGAGAAGUCCUUGUUACUUAAUUGAA
Molecule: ribosomal RNA, 979 nt
Filed under: Thelotrema diplotrema
Lineage: Eukaryota; Fungi; Ascomycota; Lecanoromycetes; Ostropales; Graphidaceae
Description: eukaryotic LSU rRNA
Rfam family: Eukaryotic large subunit ribosomal RNA
Source: RNAcentral